AGUCGUAACAAGGUUUCCGAGGAACAGUGAUCCUUCUAAAGAGACACUUAUAGAAGCCUUUGCAGCUCCGUAAGGGGUUUGCCUACCGCGACUGAAAAUAAAGGUUUGGCCAUGCAGGUCGGUACCCUAGGGUACUGGCGACACUUUCGAAUUGCGGGAACAUCCUCUGUUAACCCUACCAAACCAUGCCGGUCAACCGGCUUGGUGGCCUACUGCUAGCGGCAGAGGGGAAGGUAACAACGGAAUUAACGAGGGUAAUCCGCAGCCAACUCCCGCUCGACGGGAAGGGGUUCACAGACUAAGUGGAAGUGGGCAGGAGGUAGUACUCCUGCUUAAGAUAUAGUCGGGGCCUCUAGGAGACUAGAGGUGUGUUCAGUCACUGGAUUUAUGGUACAGAGUUGCCUCGUCCAACAUGAAGUACAGCCGUUCCGUAGGUGAACCUGCGGAAGGAUCAUUAAUGGGUCAACGCCUCCGGGCACAAUCCCCCACCCUUUGUAACCGCGGCCCGGAUUCGGCGCCUGGCGGGGAGCCCCGCCUGCCGGAAUUAGCCAACCCUGCCUAGAAAAUUGAAGUCUGAGAACAAGUUAAAUUAAACAAAACUUUCAACAACGGAUCUCUUGGUUCUGGCAACGAUGAAGAACGCAGCGAAAUGCGAUAAGUAAUGUGAAUUGCAGAAUUCAGUGAAUCAUCGAAUCUUUGAACGCACAUUGCGCCCCCUGGUAUUCCGGGGGGCACNNNGNUCGAGNGCCAUUUCUACCCUGGAGCCCUGCUCUGUGAUGGGCCCCGUCCUCGCGGACGGGCCCGAAACCCGUGGGCGCCGUCGUCCGGCCCUGAGCGUAGCAAGAGAAAUCCCUCGCUCGGAGUGUCCGCACGGUGGCCGCCCCGACCCAUUUUUACAAGGUUGGCCUCGGAUCAGGUGGGGAUACCCGCUGAACUUAAGCAUAUCAAUAAGCGGAGGAAAAGAAACCAACAGGGAUUGCCUCAGUAACGGCGAGUGAAGCGGCAACAGCUCAAAUUUGAAAUCUGGCUCACGCCCGAGUUGUAAUUUGUAGAGGAUGUUUCGGGUGAAGCCGCGGUCCAAGUCCCUUGGAACAGGACGUCAUAGAGGGUGAGAACCCCGUACCUGGCCGCCGGUGCCCCCCGCUGUGAAACUCCUUCGACGAGUCGAGUUGUUUGGGAAUGCAGCUCUAAAUUGGUGGUAAAUUCCAUCUAAAGCUAAAUACCGGCCAGAGACCGAUAGCGCACAAGUAGAGUGAUCGAAAGAUGAAAAGCACUUUGAAAAGAGAGUUAAAAAGUACGUGAAAUUGUUGAAAGGGAAGCGCCUGCGGCCAGACUUGCCCGCGGUUGCUCAGCCCGCCCUUUGGCGGGUGCACUCUUCCGCGGUCAGGCCAGCAUCGGUUUGGGCGGCCGGAUAAAGGCGUUGGGAACGUGGCCUCCCCUCGGGGAGGUGUUAUAGCCCGGCGCGCAAUGCGACCAGCCCGGACCGAGGUUCGCGCUUUGCUAGGAUGCUGGCGUAAUGGCCGUAAGCGGCC
This 1532-nucleotide ribosomal RNA is filed under the name uncultured fungus. RNAcentral's name for it is "eukaryotic LSU rRNA". The stretch from base 903 to 1532 matches the Rfam family "Eukaryotic large subunit ribosomal RNA", at positions 1 to 649 of the family's 3401-position model. Lineage: Eukaryota; Fungi. The record is from RNAcentral.